UAGGGAAUCUUCCGCAAUGGGCGAAAGCCUGACGGAGCAACGCCGCGUGAGUGAUGAAGGUCUUCGGAUCGUAAAACUCUGUUAUUAGGGAAGAACAAAUGUGUAAGUAACUAUGCACGUCUUGACGGUACCUAAUCAGAAAGCCACGGCUAACUACGUGCCAGCAGCCGCGGUAAUACGUAGGUGGCAAGCGUUAUCCGGAAUUAUUGGGCGUAAAGCGCGCGUAGGCGGUUUUUUAAGUCUGAUGUGAAAGCCCACGGCUCAACCGUGGAGGGUCAUUGGAAACUGGAAAGCUUGAGUGCAGAAGAGGAAAGUGGAAUUCCAUGUGUAGCGGUGAAAUGCGCAGAGAUAUGGAGGAACACCAGGGGCGAAGGCGACUUUCUGGUCUGUAACUGACGCUGAUGUGCGAAAGCGUGGGGAUCAAACAGG
This 429-nucleotide ribosomal RNA is filed under the name Actinomycetes bacterium. RNAcentral describes it as "Actinobacteria bacterium partial 16S ribosomal RNA". It matches the Rfam family "Bacterial small subunit ribosomal RNA", at positions 355 to 776 of the family's 1533-position model. The record is from RNAcentral. Lineage: Bacteria; Bacillati; Actinomycetota; Actinomycetes.